AAGGAUCAUUAAAGAGACGUUGCCCUUCGGGGUAUACCUCCCACCCUUUGUUUACCGUACCUUUGUUGCUUUGGCAGGCCCGUCUUCGGACCGCCGGCUUCGGCUGGUCUGCGCCUGCCAGAGGACCCAAAACUCUGUCUGUCUGUGUCGUCUGAGUACUAUAUAAUAGUUAAAACUUUCAACAACGGAUCUCUUGGUUCUGG
This 203-nucleotide unclassified non-coding RNA is filed under the name uncultured fungus. RNAcentral's name for it is "partial contains 18S rRNA, ITS1, 5.8S rRNA, ITS2 and 28S rRNA". The record is from RNAcentral. Lineage: Eukaryota; Fungi.